RNAcentral lists this ribosomal RNA (424 nucleotides) under uncultured bacterium. Its description in RNAcentral is "bacterial SSU rRNA". It matches the Rfam family "Bacterial small subunit ribosomal RNA", at positions 358 to 773 of the family's 1533-position model. The record is from RNAcentral.
GGAAUAUUGCACAAUGGGGGAAACCCUGAUGCAGCAACGCCGCGUGAGUGAAGAAGGCCCUUGGGUUGUAAAGCUCUUUAGCGAGGGAAGAGGGUAGACACGGUGAAUAAUCGUGUUUGCUGACGGUACCUCGAAAAUAAGCACCGGCUACUUUCGUGCCAGCAGCCGCGGUAAUACGAAAGGUGCAAGCGUUACUCGGAAUCACUGGGCGUAAAGCGCACGUAGGCGGACUUACAGGUCAAUUGUGAAAUACCUGGGCUCAACCCAGGAACUGCAGUUGAAACCGUUUGUCUUGAAUACCUGAGAGGGUGGGGGAAUACCUGGUGGAGAAGUGAAAUUCGUAGAGAUCAGGUGGAACACCGGAGGCGAAGGCGCCUGCCUGGCAGUGUAUUGACGCUGAGGUGCGAAAGUGCGGGGAGCAAAC